RNA transcript from Acipenser ruthenus (sterlet), 1232 nucleotides. It is a transcript of the gene named DNA polymerase epsilon subunit 4, with no coding region annotated. The record is from RefSeq and is a predicted model, not a curated record. The transcript has 5 exons. NCBI's taxonomy places the organism in Eukaryota, Metazoa, Chordata, Actinopteri, Acipenseriformes, Acipenseridae.
GGUUGUCACUCCAUUGAGGCACCCGAGAUUUGAGUGCAAGCUCAGUGUUACAGAGAGCUCAGUGCUGGCGAGGUCAGUCAGUCAAGUGCAGCUCAUGGUCAACGUAAGUAAUUGUAAUGGGGUAAUAAUAUCCCGUGCUUAAUAUUGCAAUUCAACCUCUGAUAAAGUCAGAGUACCUGAACUUUACAAUGGUGCAAAGACCAUUUCUUAAGCACUCAAGACCUCUGCUUUAAGCGGACACAGCUCCUUCUGAUCGGUUAAUGCAGGUUUCAUAUUAGUUUUAAAAUGGUAUAUAUAUAUAUAUAUAUAUAUAUAUAUAUAUAUAUAUAAAUUAAAAAGUUUGUUGUUUCUCGCAGUAUAUAAUGCAGCUUCAAUGCUAAUGCCUGAAAAGUACCGUUUACAUCCCCCGCGCAAAUAGAUUGAGGAGGAGUUUUGCAGUCUGGGCGGGAGAAGACAACUUGCGCGUAUUCCUGCAAGCAAGUUUCAAAGAAUUUAUAACGUAAGCGCCUGCAUGACAACUGCGGGGUGCGUAGUUUACGUACUAUCAAACCAUCAGGAUUAUUUGUGUGUGUUGACUGCCUGUGUAAAGGAUGGCGGCGGCAGGAGCAGCUCCGGCAGGUCCGGUCGAGUCAGAGCUGGACCGGAGUGGGACGGAGGAAGACCCCAGAGAAGCGGUGUCGGAAGAGGAAGGUUGUCCGCAGCAACAGGCCGGGGCUCCGAGCUCGGCCUCCCACAACCGCCUGGCGAAGCUGCCGCUGUCUCGGAUAAAGACACUGAUGAAGGCCGAUCCAGAUGUGACGCUGGCGAGUCAGGAUUCAGUGUUUAUCAUCGCUAAAGCUACAGAGUUGUUUGUUGAAACAAUAGCCAAGGAUGCUCUUGUUUAUGCUCAGCAAGGCAAGAGGAAGACCCUGCAAAGGAAAGAUCUAGAUAAUGCAAUUGACGCUAUUGACGAGUUUGCCUUUCUUGAAGGCACUUUGGACUGAAGUUUGGAAAACAAUUCACAAAGAAUGAUGCGACUUUACCCCGAAGGAACCGUGGAAUACAUUUGCAACAUGAGGAAAUCCUUCAUUCAUCUUCCCUGCUCAGCCCAUAAAGACUUCUUUUGCAAAGUGCCUUCACUGCUGUAUGUAGCUGACCCACCACAUCAACAUGACCGUUGCUCUCAGCUACUGGAAGUGUGUAAAUGUCCACUCUUGUGUAAUAAAACUGAUAUUUUGUUUUAAAUAUUGUAA